AACCCUUAUCUUUAAUUGCCAGCAUUCAGUUGGGCACUUUAAAGAGACUGCCGGUGUUAAACCGGAGGAAGGUGGGGAUGACGUCAAGUCAUCAUGGCCCUUACGGCCUGGGCUACACACGUGCUACAAUGGUCGGUACAAAGGGUUGCCAAGCCGCGAGGUGGAGCUAAUCCCAUAAACCGAUCGUAGUCCGGAUCGCAGUCUGCAACUCGACUGCGUGAAGUCGGAAUCGCUAGUAAUCGUGAAUCAGAAUGUCACGGUGAAUACCGGUUCCCGGGCCUU
This 282-nucleotide ribosomal RNA is filed under the name uncultured Rhodocyclaceae bacterium. RNAcentral's name for it is "partial 16S ribosomal RNA". It matches the Rfam family "Bacterial small subunit ribosomal RNA", at positions 1100 to 1382 of the family's 1533-position model. The record is from RNAcentral. Lineage: Bacteria; Pseudomonadati; Pseudomonadota; Betaproteobacteria; Rhodocyclales; Rhodocyclaceae.